GUGAGGAAUAUUGGUCAAUGGGCGGGAGCCUGAACCAGCCAAGUCGCGUGAAGGAAGAAGGAUCUAUGGUUCGUAAACUUCUUUUGCAGGGGAAUAAAGUGCAGGACGUGUCCUGUUUUGUAUGUACCCUGAGAAUAAGGAUCGGCUAACUCCGUGCCAGCAGCCGCGGUAAUACGGAGGAUCCGAGCGUUAUCCGGAUUUAUUGGGUUUAAAGGGUGCGUAGGUGGUUUGAUAAGUCAGCGGUGAAAGUUUGCAGCUUAACUGUAAAAAUGCCGUUGAAACUGUCGGGCUUGAGUGUAAAUGAGGUAGGCGGAAUGCGUGGUGUAGCGGUGAAAUGCAUAGAUAUCACGCAGAACUCCGAUUGCGAAGGCAGCUUACUAAGCUACAACUGACACUGAAGCACGAAAGCGUGGGGAUCAAACAGGAUUAGAAACCCGUGUAGUCC
This 445-nucleotide ribosomal RNA is filed under the name uncultured bacterium. RNAcentral describes it as "partial 16S ribosomal RNA". It matches the Rfam family "Bacterial small subunit ribosomal RNA", at positions 354 to 796 of the family's 1533-position model. The record is from RNAcentral.